Alexandromys fortis (reed vole) is the source of this 1154-nucleotide long non-coding RNA. RefSeq lists it as uncharacterized. The transcript has 3 exons. NCBI's taxonomy places the organism in Eukaryota, Metazoa, Chordata, Mammalia, Rodentia, Cricetidae. The record is from RefSeq and is a predicted model, not a curated record.
CAAGAGGUAAGGGGAAACGAGGACGGGAGAGAGGGGCAACACCUGGCUAAAGAAAGGGCCUGCUGGGGACAACUAGAUGGUCACAUUAUAGGACUCAGAAUGAGGAGGUGGUAUGAAGCCUAUUCCCGGGCAUAACGGUGCCAAUAUUAGGGAACUAUAGAACUGGGAGGUAAUUUGCUCUCCCUGCAGCUUUGAUAACGGGUUCACUGAAAGACUAAUUGCUUAGGGGGGGCUGUGGAGGGGAGGAUGCCAGGGGCUUGGUCUGAGGACCACAGCUGAGCAGAAUGGGGACCAAACAGAAAUCUUGAAAUUUCUCUGGCGAAGGGAGAUAGAGCUCUAUCUAGAUGCAUGAUGUCCAGGACUUCUGCUGAGCAUAUCAGAGACCAGAUAAUAAAUGCUGACUCGCUUGGGCUUCAAGUGGAGCUCAGAGUUACCAUGGAUGCUUAGCUCGUACAAGGCUCUAGAUUCAGUUUCCAGCAAAAGAAAAACAAGAUCAAAGCAAAGCAACAGCAAAGCUGAAAUUCCCUUCAAGGGGAAGCCCAAAGCCACUCACAGGCAGCCUGCUGUGGAUGAGAUUGUCACCCUUGAAAGUGACCAGCAGACAUCUGGGGUCACACAGUCAUUGCCUCAGAUCUUCUCCAAGAAAAGAACGGAAAAACGCCAAGAAGAUUGUUCUGCCCUCCACGAGCCAGAAAUAAUCUUUCUGGAGUUAUGGUGGAUGUUUGAGUGCAUUUACCUUUAGUGCUUGACGGAAACAGUAAUUUCUGCGUGAAACGUGUAAUUUGGACACUUAGCGCGCUAAAUGCUAAGUAGACGUCGCGUUCAAGAGCGCACCAUUUAGAGCCGGAGACUAUUUUAGCAGUCUGCCAGAAGAGGGCACCAGACCCCAUUACAGAUGGUUGUGAGCCACCAUGUGGUUGCCGGGAAUUGAACUCAGGACCUUUGGAAGAGCAGGCAGUGCUCUUAACCACUGAGCCGUCUCUCCAGCCCUGGCCAGGGAAGACAGCAUGAAGAAUGGCGGAUGAUGAAGGCCUCCACUCAGGGCUUCCCUCCCAGCUGGCUCCACUGUGUACCUACAGGACUAGGCACGUUGUGUGCCAGAGGUCAAUACUGGCUUUGUAACACUGAUGCUUCAUUUAUCUUUUCUAAAAUGU